Molecule: ribosomal RNA, 253 nt
Filed under: uncultured bacterium
Lineage: Bacteria
Description: partial 16S ribosomal RNA
Rfam family: Bacterial small subunit ribosomal RNA
Source: RNAcentral
UACGUAGGUGGCGAGCGUUGUCCGGAUUUACUGGGCGUAAAGAGCGCGCAGGCGGCUGGUCAAGUCCGAUGUGAAAGCUCCCGGCUUAACUGGGAAAUUGCAUCGGAAACUGAUCGGCUGGAAGGUGGGAGAGGGUAGCGGAAUUCCCGGUGUAGUGGUGAAAUGCGUAGAUAUCUGGAGGAACACCUGUGGCGAAGGCGGCUAUCUGGUCCAAUUCUGACGCUGAGGCGCGAAAGCUAGGGGAGCAAACAGG